GAUGAACGCUGGCGGCGUGCCUAAUACAUGCAAGUCGAGCGAAUGAUGAGGAGCUUGCUCCUCUGAUUUAGCGGCGGACGGGUGAGUAACACGUGGGUAACCUGCCUGUAAGAUGGGGAUAACUCCGGGAAACCGGGGCUAAUACCGAAUAAUAAAAGAGGAAGCAUUUCUUCUUUUUGAAAGUUGGUUUCGGCUAACACUUACAGAUGGGCCCGCGGCGCAUUAGCUAGUUGGUGAGGUAACGGCUCACCAAGGCGACGAUGCGUAGCCGACCUGAGAGGGUGAUCGGCCACACUGGGACUGAGACACGGCCCAGCCUCCUACGGGAGGCAGCAGUAGGGAAUCUUCGGCAAUGGGCGAAAGCCUGACCGAGCAACGCCGCGUGAGCGAGGAAGGCCUUCGGGUCGUAAAGCUCUGUUGUCAGGGAAGAACAAGUACGAGAGUAACUGCUCGUACCUUGACGGUACCUGACCAGAAAGCCACGGCUAACUACGUGCCAGCAGCCGCCGUAA
This 512-nucleotide ribosomal RNA is filed under the name uncultured bacterium. Its description in RNAcentral is "partial 16S ribosomal RNA". It matches the Rfam family "Bacterial small subunit ribosomal RNA", at positions 28 to 523 of the family's 1533-position model. The record is from RNAcentral.